GGGGAAUAUUGCGCAAUGGGGGAAACCCUGACGCAGCAACGCCGCGUGAGUGAUGAAGGCUUUCGAGUCGUAAAACUCUGUCUUUGGGGACGAAUAAUGACGGUACCCAAGGAGGAAGCCCCGGCUAACUACGUGCCAGCAGCCGCGGUAAUACGUAGGGGGCAAGCGUUGUCCGGAAUCACUGGGCGUAAAGGGCGCGUAGGCGGUUUGUUAAGUCAGGUGUGAAAGUUUUCAGCUUAACUGGAAAAGUGCACUUGAAACUAACUUACUUGAGUACUGGAGAGGUAAGCGGAAUUCCUAGUGUAGCGGUGAAAUGCGUAGAUAUUAGGAAGAACACCGGUGGCGAAGGCGGCUUACUGGACAGAGACUGACGCUGAGGCGCGAAAGCGUGGGGAGCGAAC
RNAcentral lists this ribosomal RNA (401 nucleotides) under uncultured bacterium. Its description in RNAcentral is "bacterial SSU rRNA". It matches the Rfam family "Bacterial small subunit ribosomal RNA", at positions 356 to 773 of the family's 1533-position model. The record is from RNAcentral.